CCGGAAAAAUGUGUUGAUGGCUUGUUUGAUAGUUUUGCAAGGUUGGAUUCACGUAUAUAUAGUGUUGUUCAAACUGCUGCUAACGUAGGAGACCACCUGCAGGUAAAGGUAAAGCCUGUAUAAAGAAAUCUCGAUUUUGGGUGGCUCGGGGAGCCGAAAUCUCGAUUUUGGGAUGGAAACGGUUCGGCGAGGAAAUUUCACCACAUGUUCCCCAUCAUGAAAGAUUACCAAGAGUCCAAGAAUCAUGCAAUUCAGACGUGUAACGAGGGAGAUAUUGGCAAAUUACAAUAAUGACGAUACCUCGGUGUUUAUUCGUUCAUUGAACUGAUUGCCAUGAUAGGGAUGCGAGUGUUUGAGAUAGUAAAUAUCUGCAUUAAAUUUCUUUUAUUGAUGCUUUGCGUCACACCCCAAUUCAUAUAAAUAACACAAGAGAAAAAUCCUUGUUGAAACCGAAAAGAAGGUAACAAGUCAGGCUAGGCCCCUUUGGAUCACAAGUUUUGUUUCAUGCUUCUGAUAACCAGUAUCAUUUGCAUAAAAUUAUGAGUUAAGUGUUUAAGCUCAAUCAGAGAUGCCGCUCUAAAUCUAACAUGAAAGUCUUAAGUUGAGAAAACAAAAGACAAAUAAGAGUUAUUGUUAUAGCGGAAGUCUAAAAUAGAAAGUUGAACCAUAGCCUCAGCUCGUCCCGUCAGCAACGACCGGCCAACCUGAAAAACAUUUGAAAGUAUUUUUAGGUUAAGUACUAAUGUACUCAGUGGGCAUGCAUUUUCUGAAACAUUUCAUAUUUUCGUAAAGACAGUUUAUCCAAUCAUAAUUGACAUAACUUAGAAGGUUUUAAAUUGAAAGAACUUCUAAGCAUGUUAAAAUAAUUUCUUUUAUUUGUGCGCACAUGUCACACUCCCUUUCUAUUACUCGCUGUGAUCCCGGACCUUUUAGCCAUCGUUAGAUCCAUUUCUCCCAUUUACUUGAACUGAGGGCGUAACCCAGACAAGUUUCAUUUGACCUCGGGACGCUACCCAGGCAGGCCUUACAUUACAUGCUCCGGAACACAUCCAGCAAGCACCCUUAUAACGUCUAUUAGUUAGUGCCCGAUGGAGAUCAACCCACUAGGUCAGCUAACGAGUGUACAUAAUUCUCAAAUAACGUGUUAGGCCAUAAGAGAACCUUGAACGAUUCGUUGUGGCGAGCCUUAAACAGAGCAGAGUGCACAUAAACAUUUUAUCGGAUAAACAGUUUGCAUUUCAUUGAAUAAACAAUUUACAUUUCAUUGAAACAUUUAGAGCUUAAUAACUCAUUCAUACUUUAUACAUUUGGAAAGUAAGCCUACCUGAUUAGGCAAUGUCUGCAGUUUUACUCAUAACUCUGAAUAGGAAUAGCGACGCUAAUUCUCCUGAACCACAAAGCCUACAAGAAAUCUAUUAUUAAUAGGUCUCUCGAAUGUAAUCUUAAGUCAUAGUGAAAGUGCUUAACAUUUUAUGAUUCACCAAGUCGAAUUUUCAAAAUUUAAUCAUAAAUACUUGAAAAUUUAAAUCCUGAGCUAAGGACACCAACAAUAUCCUUGUUCGAUUUUCUUUGAUGAUUGGAUUUAUGAAAAAUCAAUUUAAAUCAUAAAUACUCUUAUUGUUCAAAUACUUAAUGCAAAUAAUUUCAUGCUUAAUCAUAUAAUAAGUAAUUGCAGCAUGUAUGUACAUAAUAAUAUUAUUAUGCAAUUCAUUCUUUAACAUAAAUAAUUAAACUAAUUAAUAGUCUAAUUAAAUAAUAAAUUUAGGCUUAAAUCAAUAAUCCAAUUAAAGAAGUUAAUUGGCAGCCCAAUAAUUUAAAGAGUAAAAUUUUGAAGUAGCCAAAAUGAAGCAUAAAACACAAUUUAUGGCCACACAUUGAAAAAACACAAAUUUUGGCCAUUUUUAUAGCUUUGGGACGCUUUUGCCCUUAAUUGGGCGGACUGGGUAGGGUCAGACACGCGGGUCGCGUGCCGGGUCGGGUUAGGCACUUAUGGCACUAUUAGUGCCAUAAGUGCCAAGAUGGCACUUAUGGCACUAAUAGUGCCAUAAGUGCCAUCGAAAAUCCAAAAUAAAACCAAGUAAAAUAGUCAUUUUGGCACUUAUGUCACUAUUAGUGCCAUAAGUGCCAACGAAAUUCAAAAUAAAACUAAGUAAAAUGGUCAUCAGCACAAAUACAGAAACAACAACAUCAUUUAAACCCUAAAUGGAACAUCUAAACCCUAAAUGGGUAAUCUAAACCCUAAAUGGAACAUCUAAACCCCAAAUGAAUAAUCUAAACCCUAAAUGGAAUAUCUAAACCCUAGGGGGAAGUGUGCACUUAUGGCACUUAUGGCACUAUUAGUGCCAUAAGUGCCAUCUUGGCACUUAUGGCACUAAUAGUGCCAUAAGUGCCUAACCCGACCCGGCACGCGACCCGCGUGUCUGAUCCUACCCAGUCCGCCUCAUUAAGGGCAAAAGCGUCCAAAUCAAUAAAAAUGGCCAAAAUUUGUGUUUUUUCAAAUGGUGGACAAAAUUUGAUUUUCAUUCUUCAUUAUGGCCAUUUGGGUGGAUUGUUUCUAAUUUAAAUGCAGAUUCACCCAAGUAAAAUAAAUAGGGCAGCCCACAUUCUUUAAAAUAAUUCAGACCCAAGAGUUUAAUUAAAAUGGUGUGGCCCAACCACAAAUUAAUUCUGCAGCCCAAACUUUAAUAAUUCCGGCCCAAAACAGAUGGCCCAACACCCCAACCCUAUUCCUCUUAUUCCUAUCACAAGAUAGGUUUCAAUCUCUCCCUCAGCACCAAAACUCGCCCUCUCUCUAAUCUCUCUCAAACCUUACUGAAUCAGGCCCUCUCUCAAAACCUCGCCGCCACGGCUCCUCCUCCGGCCACGAACGCCGCCGGCCACUCCUCUCCCGACUCCCUCGACUCUAUUUCACUCAAGGUUGGCCACACACACACGGACCCACACACGCCGCCCCUCUCCCGACUCCCUUCAUCUUCUCCCUCAUCUCCGGCCACACCGGCGCCCCAUAUCCCUCUCUUUCUCGGCGGCAGCAACCGCCGCCACGGUCACCGCCUCAUCUCCCUUACCCCUCUGCUCUCGCCUCCUCUCUGACCCAGAACGGCGACGGUGAGGGACUCCGCCGUCUGAGCCCUAGCCCCAAUCACGGCUCCUCUCAAUUUCUGGCAACGACGCCGCCCCUACGCAGCGCUGCCUCCAUCCGUUCUCCCUCAUCUCAAAGCCUCGCCGGACAGACUACAGCAGCAGCCGUGCCACCGCAGUCGACGCCCGGUCUCCCUCCAUCUCUUCCCUCUGAACUCCGGUGAUAAAACAAAGCCCUGAGGCUGUUGCCCACCUUCCCUGACUCGACUCAGCAGCUACAACAACACCCACCCGACUCAACUCGGUACCCACCGACUCAGUUCGACUCAAGCAUCACAAAAUAGAGUUCAAAAGCUAAAAUCCAGAUUAUUCAAGUCAAAGUUCUUUUCUUUAAAACUAUUUGUGAAGUUGUCAUUCCUUUUGAAAUCUUUGUUCUGCUAUACACAAAAUAUACAUAUAUGCAGCUGUUAUUCAUGUACGGCAUUUUGGUUUCAUUUGAAAUAUAUGUGUAUAUAUAUCGAGAUGAAUGUAUGUGUGUUAUAGCUGAAAUUAGAACUAAAGUUACAGAAAUUUAAAAGUUAAAAACCUUUGGAAAACUUGCUGAUGGUUGGUUGCUUGAAAUUUGGUGGAGGCUUGAAUUAGCUCAGCACUUGAAACUCCUCUUUCUUGCGAAAUGUUGAUUGAAUUUGUUAGAAAUGAAGAAGGAUGGAUUGAUUUUGCAGAGAGUGUUUUGUGAUGAUGUUAAAGGGGCAUAGUUGGUGGAAAGUAAGGAGUGAUGGUAAGUUUGGACUUUGAAAUUAUACAAAACUACUGUUUUUUGAUUUGUCUGUUUACCGCAUUAUAUCGUGUUACUAGUGUUUCUAUCGUCCCAAUGUCGUUUGUAUUGAGGCAAAUUAUAAUAAUGACGAUACCUCGGUGUUUAUUCGUUCACUGAACUGAUUGCCAUGAUAGGGAUGCGAGUGUUUGAGAUAGUAUAUGUCUGCAUUAAAUUUCUUUUAUUGAUGCUUUGAAUAGUUUAUGAUUUCAUACUUUUGUUGUUUUUGAAUUUGUUAGUGGAGUUUUUCUCAUAAUCUCUUGCUGUUCACAUUCCAGGUUAACGAAUACGCACUAUUGGCUUUAUUUUGCUGAAGAAAAAUGUUCGGAAGCAACCGUAAGUUCUGUUUCCCUUAACUUAGUCGGUUCUUAUUUGAUUGUUUUGUAUUGCCACAUUGGUUGUUCUCCUCUAUUAUCUUCCUGUGGAUAACUCUCCGCUUUUUACCUUUGAAUAUAUCCCUUGACAACAAAUUCCUAAAUUAAAUCUGUUAUAUGGUUAGGUAAUGAUAAUAACAUUGGCUACUUGAGAUCAAAUGUUUAAUUUUUUUAUUUGAGAUUUGGGAGAGUACACAAUUAAAAAUAUUUUAUAUGUUCCUGGGUUAUGCUUGUACAUCCUGAUUUUUUCUGGGUUAUGCUUGUACAUCCUGAUUUUUCCUUUGUUCUGUUACAGCUUUUGGGCUGUCAUCUAGUUUUUAUUAAAACCCAUGCCGUCCACCUUUACGACUAUUUUUGGUGGACGGAGGGAGUAUUUUUUUAUUUCUUUUUCUUUUUCUCUAUUUAUAAAAAUUGUAGUAUAAUUUAACUAAUGAUAAAAUAUUUCCUUUCAGUGUUCUGCUAUUCACUAGAUGAUCUCCCUAAUAUUGAUGUUUGUUCUCAGAUUGAUCAGAAACUCUAGAAUGAUAAAACUGAAAUUUCUGCUCAAGACUCUAAGCAUCGGAAAACGCUUUCUGAGGUUAGUUAGCUUGGUUUAAUAGAUUAUUAUUCUAUUUAUAUGAAGGCACGAGGGCAUGCAGCAUGUUGCUAAUUGUUGCUGUUUCUUUUUCCAUAUUUACAUGCAGCCGGAAAAAUGUGUUGAUGGCUUGUUUGAUAGUUUUGCAAGGUUGGAUUCACGUAUAUAUAGUGUUGUUCAAACUGCUGCUAACGUAGGAGACCACCUGCAGGUAAAGGUAAAGCCUGUAUAAAGAUUGUAAAUUUUGUUUAGUCUGCAUUUGGUGUUUAUUUUCUUAUUAUAUCAUGUCUUUAAUAUACAGAGUGAAUAUAGUCCAAUACUAAUACAUCAAAUUAAGUGUCUGGAUUUUGAACAGUGACCAUUUGCUUUUCGGUUUUCAUUUAUUUUGGUGUUUCUAUGCACAAAUUGUCUACUAGGUUGUUUAACCGAACUGGGUAAACAACUCUUGUGUUCAGUGUUGUUACUUUCGUUGAUACUUUGUGUUGCACGUUUGCUGCGUUUUGUGUGUGCGAUAUAUGCAAUUGGAUAGGUAACUUUUCACAGAUGCUAAAGAUGAGAGUUGCCCAAGUUGAAUUUAAGAUGAUGAUGACACGGUAUUAGUUCGGUUAGUAUGAGGUUUGACAUUGUUUUAACGGUUUAUGUAAUAUGUUUAUGCUACUUCUUGCUUGCUUCGCCUCAUUGUCUGCACAAAUCUAGUGUGCUUUGCCAUGUCUUUUGCACAAAUAUGUAGUUUUGAAUUUCCUCCUAUGUUAAGUAUCUUUGUACAAGUGUUUUGGUAUGAAAAUAUUUUGUAAUCAAUGUUCGACUAGCUAGUAUCUUGUAUCUUUGUAAAUAAUGAAGUUUCAUUUCUCUACCCCUACCUCCUCUCAAGAGGCGANAAAAAAAAUAUAUAAUGGUCGUUUUGCUAAAUUAAUAUUCUUAUGUCUCCAAAAACAUUUGCUACAUUCUGAAUUAUAUGAGUUUUAAUAAAAUAUAAGUGAAGUUGCGUGAAUUUUACUAUUAUAAAAAAAAUGACAAAAUAUAAUGGUCAUUGUUAGAGUAUUCUUUCUACAUACUCUAAAGGUGAUAUCGUCAUUGUGUACCUCAAAACAUGUUUUCUUCGGUUGUCUCUCUUUGAGUCUCUUGUUGGGUUUCUUGUUCGGUUGCAAGGUUCUUUCUGGUUUGUUUCCUUGCGGGUUUUUGUAGCUUUUUGGAAAGAUAUCUUUAAGAUAUUGCCUUUGCAUGAAGAGUCCGUUUCUUUAGGGUGUCUUCGUACCCUAUGACUAGCCGCCUUAUAAAAACCCUACAUGGGCCCUGCGUUGGUUUGGACUAGCAGUUCAUGGGCUCUCUAUUUCUUGGCAAGAGUUUUCAUAUUUAAUGAGCGUUUGUCGAUCAGAGGCUGCUGCUGCUUUCUCGUUUAUUCUCUUUACUUUGUGAGAGUAUUUUUGUGCAUCCAGAGAGCAUACAAUUCGGGAGUGUGUGCUGUUGUUUUACACUUUAUUUCAUUGGAAGCGUGAGUUGGUUUUAUGUUCGUUGAUCUGUACUCAGCUUGUUGGAGUGUUUAUUUUUGUGGUGUGGAACGUGGAUUGAGUAUCAAUCACGUUUGUGAGAGUGAGUCUUAUCUUGCUCUCGGUAGUUCACAUAGGUGACGAUUUGGGAAGAAAUAGAGGCUAGGAAGAUCGAGUCUUCGCGUGUAAGUCCUUUGUAUUUCUUAUCCUCACUAGUGAACUGUUUGAACUGGGCGAGGCCCCCCAGACGUAGGUGUUUUAUCACCGAACUGGGUUACUAUUGUUGGUGUUUUGUGUUCUUUACUUUCUGCACGUUUUGCUUUAAGUUUCGCUGCUUACUCUCUUUGUGC
Molecule: long non-coding RNA, 6677 nt
Filed under: Salvia miltiorrhiza (redroot sage)
Lineage: Eukaryota; Viridiplantae; Streptophyta; Magnoliopsida; Lamiales; Lamiaceae
Description: long non-coding RNA (SMIL_LNC005161)
Source: RNAcentral